This 96-nucleotide non-coding RNA is filed under the name Thauera aromatica K172. RNAcentral describes it as "TPP riboswitch aptamer (THI element)". It matches the Rfam family "TPP riboswitch aptamer (THI element)". From Rfam's summary of the family: Vitamin B(1) in its active form thiamin pyrophosphate (TPP) is an essential coenzyme that is synthesised by coupling of pyrimidine and thiazole moieties in bacteria. The previously detected thiamin-regulatory element, thi box was extended, resulting in a new, highly conserved RNA secondary structure, the THI element, which is widely distributed in eubacteria and also occurs in some archaea. Analysis of operon structures identified a large number of new candidate thiamin-regulated genes, mostly transporters, in various prokaryotic organisms. RNAcentral also lists the same sequence under 1 other name. The record is from Rfam by way of RNAcentral. Lineage: Bacteria; Pseudomonadati; Pseudomonadota; Betaproteobacteria; Rhodocyclales; Zoogloeaceae.
CGGUCUCGUUGGGGGUGCCCGCGCCGCACGGGCUGAGAAACACCCUUGGAACCUGAUCCGGCUCGGACCGGCGUAGGGAAACGUCGUGAUGAAUAC